Long non-coding RNA from Homalodisca vitripennis (glassy-winged sharpshooter), 922 nucleotides. RefSeq lists it as uncharacterized. The record is from RefSeq and is a predicted model, not a curated record. NCBI's taxonomy places the organism in Eukaryota, Metazoa, Arthropoda, Insecta, Hemiptera, Cicadellidae. The transcript has 3 exons.
CUCUUAUAAACCUCAUGUUCAACUUCUCAGAUGCGAAGUUUAACCAAAGAACUUAGAUCUAAGAGGGCUAAACAACAGUUAAUUAGCUACAACCCAGGUUCGCACUAUUGAAAUUCUUAAAUUGAAUCAUACACACCGAGUUCAGUACAGUACUGAAUUUUAGGGCUUCAUUCUGUGGUUCCGGAUAAAUCCUUUACAAAUAUAUUCCUCAUGAUGCUUGGUUUGAAAAAAUCAACAGUACAAUUAAUAAUUUACAAAAUUGAAAUUUUAGAUAUUUAGUUUACUUUAAUUAUCGGGAUUUUCUAAUUCCAGGGUGCUUACCAUAAUAUACUAAAAAAUAAUUUCUUUGUAGAUUUUCCAGGUGAACACAAACGAGUUUUGUGGUAUUUAAUUUCUAUACGCUACUGUUUUGUUUACUUGAAUUUUAAGUGUAAAUGGCGAUAUCACGUUGCGUAGAUAUCAGUGAAGACUGCUAGUUCAACUGAAGGUCAAUCACUCAUUCGCAAUGGGUAUUGACUCUUGCCUUCUUAAUGGAUAGUAUACAAUGGAUCAAUACCGGAGGGCUGUAUACAAUAAUUGCGAAGCAUCUGGCACCAAGGAACAAGUCUUAUUUUAAAUAUUAACCAGUGACAAUGCUGAGAAACUAAUUGAAUUGCGUCUCUUAUAAAGGUGGCAGUUAGAGAAUCUGUUCUCCAGAAGAUGGAUUUUUACCAGACUGGACACCGUUGGAGUAUUUUAAAUGGGACACAUCAGCAAUAAGGUGAAUACACCCAACCCCCAAAAUUCUUACAAGACAGAGAAGCGUUAACAGCUAUUCUCCGAGAAGAGCAACACGGAAUGUUAAAAAUCCAUUUAAGAUGUGCAUGAUGUAGAGAGGGGAACAUAUUGAACACAUUUUGUGAAUUAAAAGCUACUUUAAAAA